GAUGAACGCUGGCGGCGUGCCUAAUACAUGCAAGUCGAGCGAACAGAUGAGGAGCUUGCUCCUCUGACGUUAGCGGCGGACGGGUGAGUAACACGUGGAUAACCUACCUAUAAGACUGGGAUAACUUCGGGAAACCGGAGCUAAUACCGGAUAAUAUAUUGAACCGCAUGGUUCAAUAGUGAAAGACGGUUUUGCUGUCACUUAUAGAUGGAUCCGCGCCGCAUUAGCUAGUUGGUAAGGUAACGGCUUACCAAGGCAACGAUGCGUAGCCGACCUGAGAGGGUGAUCGGCCACACUGGAACUGAGACACGGUCCAGACUCCUACGGGAGGCAGCAGUAGGGAAUCUUCCGCAAAGGGCGAAAGCCUGAAGGAGCAACGCCGCGUGAGUGAUGAAGGUCUUCGGAUCGUAAAACUCUGUUAUUAGGGAAGAACAAAUGUGUAAGUAACUAUGCACGUCUUGACGGUACCUAAUCAGAAAGCCACGGCUAACUACGUG
Molecule: ribosomal RNA, 497 nt
Filed under: uncultured bacterium
Lineage: Bacteria
Description: partial 16S ribosomal RNA
Rfam family: Bacterial small subunit ribosomal RNA
Source: RNAcentral